GGAAUAUUAACUAACUUGCUCCAAAAUACAUGGAUCCAGGAUUUGAAUCCAAGCUGACUGGCUAUAAAUGGAUGUUCCUAACUGUAUCAUUCCAUAGAGUGGAGAGUUCUACUUGCGAGUCCAGUAGCAACUUCCUGGAAUCGUUAUCUGCCUGACUUUGAACUGAUGUGAAGACUGGAGGUGCAUAGCCUUCUUGUAGCAAAUGAUGAGGAUGAAAGAAAGGGCAAGAGAAUGCUCAUCUCCAGUGUGCAUCCACUGCUGCCUGCUGCCACAUUCGUUCCAGGACAGAAAAAUAAGCUCCUCUCUGUAUUAAAGAAAGAAGUAUAUACAUUGAACAAAUAGCAAAGUGUCUGGCAGAAAAGUGCUAAGUAGAAGUCACUGAUGGUGUUUAUGACCAUAAAGAAGAAGAAAAGGAACCAGAGGAGAGAGAAGGAGCUGAAGGAGGAGAGAGAUAUAAGAAGAUAGGAGAAGAAGAAGUAGAUGGGAUUCUGGGGAGACAGAAACAAUGAAAGUGAAAAUUUGCAGUUCUUUUCUUAAAUGUCAAAGUUUUACCCUGAAAGCAACGAAGAUUUGAAAUAAAAAGGAAAUUUAAAUAUUUGUCAGGCACCUUACAAGUCAUCCUAUUCUUCAUUAUGGAUAUUGGGCAGUUCUCUGUUUUUAUCUGAGAUUGAUUAGCAUUGCUGUAAGCCAAAGAAGAAUGUGUUGAGAACUGAAGCCAUGACAGAGAUUGUGGAAUUGAAAGUCAGAGAAAAAAGCAAGCAGCACUCCAUCAAGUUGUACUUUGGGUACUGGAAAAUAUGUAUAUUGUGCUGUUUACAAAUCAUCAUUUUUGCCCCCAGGUAAAGGUGAACUCUGGCACUCCAA
Molecule: long non-coding RNA, 864 nt
Organism: Heterocephalus glaber (naked mole-rat)
Lineage: Eukaryota; Metazoa; Chordata; Mammalia; Rodentia; Bathyergidae
Source: RefSeq, a predicted model, not a curated record